AGCAGCAGCCGCGGUAAUACGUAGGUGGCAAGCGUUGUCCGGAAUUAUUGGGCGUAAAGCGCGCGCAGGCGGAUCAGUUAGUCUGUCUUAAAAGUUCGGGGCUUAACCCCGUGAUGGGAUGGAAACUGCUGAUCUAGAGUAUCGGAGAGGAAAGUGGAAUUCCUAGUGUAGCGGUGAAAUGCGUGGAUAUUAGGAAGAACACCAGUGGCGAAGGCGACUUUCUGGACGAAAACUGACGCUGAGGCGCGAAAGCCAGGGGAGCGAACGGGAUUAGAUACCCCAGUAGUCCCUGUCUCUUAUACC
RNAcentral lists this ribosomal RNA (303 nucleotides) under uncultured bacterium. Its description in RNAcentral is "partial 16S ribosomal RNA". It matches the Rfam family "Bacterial small subunit ribosomal RNA", at positions 507 to 808 of the family's 1533-position model. The record is from RNAcentral.